Molecule: ribosomal RNA, 468 nt
Filed under: uncultured bacterium
Lineage: Bacteria
Description: partial 16S ribosomal RNA
Rfam family: Bacterial small subunit ribosomal RNA
Source: RNAcentral
GACGAACGCUGGCGGCGUGCUUAACACAUGCAAGUCGAACGGAAAGGCCCUGCUUUUGUGGGGUGCUCGAGUGGCGAACGGGUGAGUAACACGUGAGUAACCUGCCCUGGACUUUGGGAUAACUUCAGGAAACUGGGGCUAAUACCGGAUAGGAGCUCCUGCUGCAUGGUGGGGGGUGGAAAGUUUCGGCGGUUGGGGAUGGACUCGCGGCUUAUCAGCUUGUUGGUGGGGUAGUGGCUUACCAAGGCUUUGACGGGUAGCCGGCCUGAGAGGGUGACCGGCCACAUUGGGCCUGAGGUACGGCCCAGACUCCUACGGGAGGCAGCCGUGGGGAAUAUUGCACAAUGGGCGGAAGCCUGAUGCAGCAACGCCGCGUGCGGGAUGACGGCCUUCGGGUUGUAAACCGCUUUCUCCUGUGACGAAGCGUGAGUGACGGUAAUGGGUAAAGAAGCACCGGCUAACUACGUG